UUUUAUGUUUGUAAAAAGAAAAAAAACACUCUUUUUCCUUUUCCUUUGCCGACACCGUUAAAACCUAUGGUUCUUCUCCCUCCGCCUAUCCCUCACCCGUACCGCCGGCGGCAGGUGGAGGUGGAGGUGGAGGUGGUGGUAAUGGAGGAGGCAGGUACAGGCGGCGGAGCCGCUCGGACGAAGAAGAGGAGCGGCACCGCGAGAGAGGGCGAGGGCGGGCGGGCGGAGGCGAGGAGGAAGGGGCGGGGGUGGAGGGUGAACCGGCAGCGGCCGUGUCUACUCGCCCUACGCCUCCUCUUCCUCCUCAAGCACCAGCAAUGGAAGAUGUUCGACCGAGGGCACCUCCUGGGGGCGCGGCUCCACCGGCGCGUGGAGGUGAAGGAGGUCCCUGCUCUGUAUGUGCCAGCGUAGAUGUACUUGCUCGUCCCCUAGUUGCGAGUCAUGUCACCAGGCGCGUUUCUACGUUACCGCAUGCGCCUGACCGAGUCCUGUCUGGGAGCGAAGAGACUAUAUGAGCAGGUUCAAAGCGGUCGCAAUUGGCCCGUACGAAAAGGAGCGGAGUUUGACGCGAUGUUUGUUAGUGAACAAGUCAACCUUCCUCCCUCAACAGUAGAAGGAAACCACCUUGGAUCGUACGCGCGAAGUGGUGACUGGGGUAGGCUCACCUCCCUCUUUGAACUUCGAUCCUUUGCGGAACUUUGGCUUCGUCGACCUCUAUGGAGACUUGCUUUCGAAAACGAGGAACUACAAUCCUUGCUGAUACUUACCCUGUAACCCGUAAAACUUCCUCGGUUCUCCGGAUUGCACCUGACGAAGUCUUCGUGAAGUAAACCCGACAGUCUCGUCCUCUAACUAAGCUGCCUGGGAGACGUACCCCAUCUGUUUCUCUUCUGUCUGUAUAAUUACAUGACGUGUCCACCGUAUUCUACACUGCAUAUGAGUUGCUAAAACUCCCUCUUCCCAAAGCCCUUGGACAUGUGAGAGUUCCCUCCGCACAGGUUGAUGGACUUCUACCUUCCCUCGCGCCUCACCCAACCAUUGGACAAACACAAACUGCUGGCCGACAGGGACGGUGGCCGGUUCAAACGUCUCCGUCUUCCGCGUCCUCUUCUUCCACCACCGCUGUUCCCCCUCCACACCAGCAGCGCUACCGACCCCGCCACGAUGCACACGCCCAGCCUCCACCUCCUCGACGCCGUGGCGUUGACGCGGUCGUAGCUGACGUUGGCCGAGAUGGACACGACACCACCCACGAACCUCCUCGACUCCCCGACGACGACAUCCCUCACGUCCCCGCGCGGUGCCGACGCCGGCGACGACGGCCCCGUGGUCUCUAUGCUGUUCACCGUAGACAUGGCGCUGCCUGCUGGUAGAGUUCGACUCGACUCGACUCGACUCCACUCGUAGUAGGUCAGGUUCACGUCAGUAAACUUCAUCACCGAAGUUCUCCUAAUGAACACAUAUAUAAAGACACCCAGCAUGGUGGUAAAAAGAACGAAAGACUAAACAACCACGUAGAAAAAAAAGCAAGAAAAUUAACUAUUCAUGAUCGUACGUCACAUCACAUCAUCUUCUUCUUCUACUCCACUGUCUCUCUCUGUAAGACA
Molecule: ribosomal RNA, 1607 nt
Filed under: Triticum aestivum (bread wheat)
Lineage: Eukaryota; Viridiplantae; Streptophyta; Magnoliopsida; Poales; Poaceae
Description: partial small subunit ribosomal RNA
Source: RNAcentral